RNAcentral lists this ribosomal RNA (292 nucleotides) under uncultured eukaryote. Its description in RNAcentral is "partial 18S ribosomal RNA". It matches the Rfam family "Eukaryotic small subunit ribosomal RNA", at positions 6 to 315 of the family's 1831-position model. The record is from RNAcentral.
GGUUGAUCCUGCCAGUAGUCAUAUGCUUGUCUCAAAGACUAAGCCAUGCAUGUCUAAGUAUAAACAAAUUUAUACUGUGAAACUGCGAAUGGCUCAUUACAUCAGUUAUAGUUUAUUUGAUAGUACCUACUACAUGGAUAACCGUAGUAAUUCUAGAGCUAAUACAUGCACGAAAACCCGACUUCUGGAAGGGUUGCAUUUAUUAGAUACAAAACCAACAGCUGGUUGAUUCAUAAUAACUGAGCGAAUCGCUGCCUUCGGGCGCGAUGAAUCAUUCAAAUUUCUGCCCUAU